GGAUAUAGCUCAGUUGGUUAGAGCACCAGAUUGUGGCUCUGGGGGCCGUGGGUUCGAAUCCCAUUAUC
This 68-nucleotide transfer RNA is filed under the name uncultured Nitratifractor sp. It matches the Rfam family "tRNA". Rfam says of the family: Transfer RNA (tRNA) molecules are approximately 80 nucleotides in length. Their secondary structure includes four short double-helical elements and three loops (D, anti-codon, and T loops). Further hydrogen bonds mediate the characteristic L-shaped molecular structure. tRNAs have two regions of fundamental functional importance: the anti-codon, which is responsible for specific mRNA codon recognition, and the 3' end, to which the tRNAs corresponding amino acid is attached (by aminoacyl-tRNA synthetases). tRNAs cope with the degeneracy of the genetic code in two manners: having more than one tRNA (with a specific anti-codon) for a particular amino acid; and 'wobble' base-pairing, i.e. permitting non-standard base-pairing at the 3rd anti-codon position. The record is from RNAcentral. Lineage: Bacteria; Pseudomonadati; Campylobacterota; Epsilonproteobacteria; Campylobacterales; Sulfurovaceae.